RNAcentral lists this transfer RNA (72 nucleotides) under Sporothrix schenckii ATCC 58251. RNAcentral's name for it is "tRNA-Pro (AGG) (tRNA-Pro-AGG-1 1 to 3)". It matches the Rfam family "tRNA". From Rfam's summary of the family: Transfer RNA (tRNA) molecules are approximately 80 nucleotides in length. Their secondary structure includes four short double-helical elements and three loops (D, anti-codon, and T loops). Further hydrogen bonds mediate the characteristic L-shaped molecular structure. tRNAs have two regions of fundamental functional importance: the anti-codon, which is responsible for specific mRNA codon recognition, and the 3' end, to which the tRNAs corresponding amino acid is attached (by aminoacyl-tRNA synthetases). tRNAs cope with the degeneracy of the genetic code in two manners: having more than one tRNA (with a specific anti-codon) for a particular amino acid; and 'wobble' base-pairing, i.e. permitting non-standard base-pairing at the 3rd anti-codon position. Lineage: Eukaryota; Fungi; Ascomycota; Sordariomycetes; Ophiostomatales; Ophiostomataceae. The record is from RNAcentral.
GGACUGUUGGUCUAGUGGUAUGAUUCUCGCUUAGGGUGCGAGAGGUCCCGUGUUCGAUCCACGGACAGUCCC